This 463-nucleotide ribosomal RNA is filed under the name uncultured bacterium. RNAcentral's name for it is "SSU rRNA". It matches the Rfam family "Bacterial small subunit ribosomal RNA", at positions 26 to 518 of the family's 1533-position model. The record is from RNAcentral.
AGGAUUAACGCUGGCGGCGUGCCUAACACAUGCAAGUCGGACGAGGUAGCAAUACCUAGUGGCAGACGGGUGAGUAACGCGUGGUCAACCUACCGUUGAGCGGGGGAUAACUAGCCGAAAGGUUAGCUAAUACCGCAUACGUCUAGCACGGCAUCGUGCAAAGAUAAAAGCCGCAAGGCACUCGACGACGGGACCGCGUCCCAUUAGUUAGUUGGUGGGGUAAUGGCCUACCAAGACUCCGAUGGGUAGCUGGUUUGAGAGAGCGACCAGCCACACUGGGACUGAGAAACGGCCCAGACUCCUACGGGAGGCAGCAGUGAGGAAUUUUCCGCAAUGGGCGAAAGCCUGACGGAGCGACGCCGCGUGUGGGAAGAAGGCCUUCGGGUCGUAAACCACUGUCGAAGGGGAAGAUAUUGACGGUACCCUUGGAGGAAGCCCCGGCUAACUACGUGCCAGCAGCCGC